Capsicum annuum is the source of this 2335-nucleotide long non-coding RNA. RefSeq lists it as uncharacterized. The record is from RefSeq and is a predicted model, not a curated record. Lineage: Eukaryota; Viridiplantae; Streptophyta; Magnoliopsida; Solanales; Solanaceae. The transcript has 5 exons.
UGGUUUGAUCCAAGAACAGCAGGCACAAGAGUACAUAAGGAGCAUAACAUCAUUGAAGUGAAGCACAAUAGAUCGUAUCUUAUUUACGAUCCAUUUGUUCUAGCGCAAAAUGCUAAACAAGUGUUUUAUGCUCCUUACUUGUUGCGCAAUGACAAGUCUGAUUGGUGGGCUGUAAUCAAACGAAGACCUAUAGGGCGGGUAGAAGUUGAGAAUGUUCUGGAGACUGCGUAUCAAAAUGAAAUGCAGAUUGAUCACCAGCUAGUGGACGUUGAAUUAGUGGACGGUUUGAAUCAUCCGAAAAAUAUUUUUGAAGAAGUUAAUAUUGUGGAAGAAGAGGCUGAGUGGGUAAAAGAUGAGGAAACCUCCGAAGAGGGUGAAUGGUUUAGUGGAAAUUCUUCAGACGAGGAGGAUUAGUUGUAUAGGUUAAAUUUAUUAUGUAUUGAUAUCCUUUUGCUUUGUACUAUAUAUUUACCUUUAUGUUUCUUGUUUAAGAUUGAUAUGUAAUAUACUGUUUAAGUUUGUUGUUUUCACUUUUCCAUGAUUUAUAUAGUAAUAAAAAUAUUCUUGUCUAUAUCUCGUGUUGUUGGACCGAUUUGAAGUGUGAAUGAGUAACUUAACAUUAGUUACUUGGAAUGUUUUCUUAUAUAUUCAUUUUGUAGGAACUAACAACUUGUUAAAUUCACAUAAUUUAGAGGUCAGGCAAAGGUGACAAAGGUAACGGAAAAUUAGUUGAUACUACGAAACCAAAGAAGAAAAGAGAACCUCCGCCUUAUAGACGGCCGACAGGUAUUCAUAUAUCUGAGGGUCGGUUUGCUGAUGUGCCAGCACGAGCCUUAUAUUCUAGGUCUUCCGAGGAUUCGAUACCUACUCCUACGUAUGUGGAGCCACUACAUGGAUCUACACUGACCCAUUCUGCUCCUAUGAUCGUGCCACCGCCAGCACAGUACUAUCGAACGGCCGCUGGCCUCUCCAGAUAUCUACCAUCAUCGAUACCCUCCUGUAGCAAUCACACAGCUUCGCACAGUGAUUCUGCUGGAUCUAUUGGGUUGUCGGAUCUUCAACUUGGAGGCACUCCAUAUGGUGCUUCUGAUCCGCCCACGCCAAUGCAUCCACCAUCACUUACUAGGCAGCUAGGAGACAGAGAUAAUUCUAGGAGGAUUUAUAUGGUUCCAGUUACAAGAGGGUUUAAGCCGGAUGUUGGAGUUGAAAAAAUGGUGUGAAUAUGCAUUAGUCGGCACUUCAACAGCUAUUGGACCAGCUGGCAAAAGGUUCCAGAACUUGACAGGGAUAGAAUGUUUGAAGAAUUUAAGAAAUUUUACUGGUGGGAUGCUGCAAAUGAAUUUCUUAUAAAGAGGAACUUCAAAAGAUGUAGAGGCAGAUUUAGUGAUCUAUUGGAUUAUGCUCGAAAGAAAUCGGUAAAACCUAAGUGGUUUCCUGAACCCUUGUGACCACUAUAUUAGCGCCACUGAAAUAGCCCAGAAUACCAAUUGUUGAGGGAAAAAAGAAAGAGAGCCCGGGUAUCAUCCAAGGGUGGCUCCCUACAUACUACGGGUGCUAGAAGUACUUUUGCUGUGAAGGAAAAACUGGAAAAAGAAAUGGGUAGGGAACUACCAACUUAUGAGGUUUUUGAGGGGACUCAUCUGAGAAAGAAAUUGAACCCGACUGAUGAAGAUGUCUGAGUUGAACCUCGUGCAAAAUUUAUCCACGACAAAUUUAGGCAUCUUCUUGGUGAGUAUCGUAGUAGUCUGCCUCCUGAAAGUCAGGGUGACCCAAUACCCCAGCAUGUACGGAAUGAGUUAUGGACAAAAGCUUCGGAUCCUGCAAAUAGAGGUCAUUUCUAUGGAUGCCACACAAAAUAUUUUGGCGAUAAUAUUAGGAGUUCAUCUGGAUCUGCAUACUCUAGCUCUUCGGUUGAUGCAGAAACCAUUGUAAGACUACAAAAUAUAGUUUCUCAACUCACCGAAGAUCUUGCUGAACAGAGACAGAGGUAUGUUGAACAGAGUGUGAGGCAGAAGAAGAUGGAGGAGGCAACGACAUCACAAAUCAAGAUGCUGCAGCAGCAGUUCAGUUCUUUCAUUCAGACUGGAGGGAUUAUUCCUCCGUGUCCUGGUGAUGCAGUUCGGGCUGCAAAAGGUUUAGGCCCCCUGGAUUAUUUCAGCACGGAUGAUGAUAUGGAAGACGAGGACGAAUUCGAUGAUGAUGACUAUUAGUUUUGUGAUUUUUGUAUGUCUUGUACUUUAAAUUUAGACAUUUUGUUGUUUGAAACUAUUGUUGUAGUAUUGUCAUACUCACUUUCGUUGGAUAUUUUGUAUGUGCCGUACACUUUUAAAAAUUU